RNAcentral lists this ribosomal RNA (255 nucleotides) under uncultured prokaryote. RNAcentral describes it as "partial 16S ribosomal RNA". It matches the Rfam family "Bacterial small subunit ribosomal RNA", at positions 523 to 777 of the family's 1533-position model. The record is from RNAcentral.
AUACGUAGGGUGCGAGCGUUGUCCGGAAUUAUUGGGCGUAAAGAGCUCGUAGGCGGUCUGUCACGUCGGCUGUGAAAACCCGAGGCUCAACCUCGGGCCUGCAGUCGAUACGGGCAAACUAGAGUACUGCAGGGGAGACUGGAAUUCCUGGUGUAGCGGUGAAAUGCGCAGAUAUCAGGAGGAACACCGGUGGCGAAGGCGGGUCUCUGGGCAGUAACUGACGCUGAGGAGCGAAAGCGUGGGGAGCGAACAGGA